RNAcentral lists this ribosomal RNA (253 nucleotides) under uncultured bacterium. Its description in RNAcentral is "partial 16S ribosomal RNA". It matches the Rfam family "Bacterial small subunit ribosomal RNA", at positions 524 to 776 of the family's 1533-position model. The record is from RNAcentral.
UACGUAGGGACCGAGCGUUGUCCGGAUUCAUUGGGCGUAAAGAGCUCGUAGGCGGCUGUUCAAGUCGAACGUGAAAACUCGGAGCUCAACUCCGAGCCUGCGUUCGAGACUGGAUGGCUAGAGUCUGGUAGGGGGAUCUGGAAUUCCUGGUGUAGCGGUGGAAUGCGCAGAUAUCAGGAGGAACACCAAUAGCGAAGGCAGCUCGCUGGGACGGUACUGACGCUGAGGCGCGAAAGCGUGGGGAGCGAACAGG